GACUCACGCGGGAAUCUUACCGGGUCCGGACACACUGAGGAUUGACAGGUUCCGAGAGUUUUUGCUUCGGCAAUGCUCUCUUAAAUAUGAUAGUCCUUUCAUGAUUAUGUGAUAGGUGGUGCAUGGCCGUUCUUAGUUCGUGGAGUGAUCUGUCUGCUUAAUUGCGUUUCACUAAAGGCGUCAUAUCUGUUUUGUUGCGUGUUUGACCCCUCUUCGGAGCGCGUGUCUUCACGCACAAUUACUUUGGCGUCUGAAAGCAACGAACGUGACCGUAACCUCUUGUUGCCUUCUCUUCUCCUCGGAGAAUGCUGUUUGUUUUUGCAGGCAGUAUAUGGAGGCUUUUUUACUCAACAACUAGAGGGACCGCUGUUUCUUUCUUUAAACCAGAGGAAGGAUACGGCAAUAACAGGUCUGUGAUGCCCUUAGAUGUUCCGGGCUGCACACGUGAUACAUUGAUUACUUCAGUGAGUAUCUACGUUUUACUGCCGUGGCAUUGCAAUGCAUAUUUCUUCGGA
RNAcentral lists this ribosomal RNA (515 nucleotides) under Elphidium sp. S3. RNAcentral describes it as "SSU rRNA". It matches the Rfam family "Eukaryotic small subunit ribosomal RNA", at positions 1197 to 1536 of the family's 1831-position model. The record is from RNAcentral. Lineage: Eukaryota; Foraminifera; Rotaliida; Elphidiidae.